GAUGAACGCUGGCGGCAUGCCUAAUACAUGCAAGUCGAACGAGAGGAAGGAAAGCUUGCUUUUCUGAAUCUAGUGGCGAACGGGUGAGUAACACGUAGGUAACCUGCCCAUGUGCCCGGGAUAACUUCUGGAAACGGAUGCUAAAACCGGAUAGGUAGCAGACAAGCAUUUGACUGCUAUUAAAGUGGCUAAGGCCAUGAACAUGGAUGGACCUGCGGUGCAUUAGCUAGUUGGUGAGGUAACGGCCCACCAAGGCGACGAUGCAUAGCCGGCCUGAGAGGGCGGACGGCCACAUUGGGACGAAGACGCGGCCCAAACUCCUACGGGAGGCAGCAGUAGGGAAUUUUCGUCAAUGGGGGGAACCCUGAACGAGCAAUGCCGCGUGAGUGAGGAAGGUCUUCGGAUCGUAAAGCUCUGUUGUAAGAGAAAAACGACAUUCAUAGGGAAUGAUGAGUGAGUGAUGGUAUCUUACCAGAGAGUCACGGCUAACUACGUGCCAGCCGCCGCGGUAA
Molecule: ribosomal RNA, 512 nt
Filed under: uncultured bacterium
Lineage: Bacteria
Description: partial 16S ribosomal RNA
Rfam family: Bacterial small subunit ribosomal RNA
Source: RNAcentral